RNAcentral lists this ribosomal RNA (497 nucleotides) under uncultured bacterium. Its description in RNAcentral is "partial 16S ribosomal RNA". It matches the Rfam family "Bacterial small subunit ribosomal RNA", at positions 28 to 507 of the family's 1533-position model. The record is from RNAcentral.
GAUGAACGCUGGCGGCGUGCCUAAUACAUGCAAGUCGAGCGAACAGACGAGGAGCUUGCUCCUCUGACGUUAGCGGCGGACGGGUGAGUAACACGUGGAUAACCUACCUAUAAGACUGGGAUAACUUCGGGAAUCCGGAGCUAAUACCGGAUAAUAUAUUGAACCGCAUGGUUCAAUAGUGAAAGACGGUUUUGCUGUCACUUAUAGAUGGAUCCGCGCCGCAUUAGCUAGUUGGUAAGGUAACGGCUUACCAAGGCAACGAUGCGUAGCCGACCUGAGAGGGUGAUCGGCCACACUGGAACUGAGACACGGUCCAGACUCCUACGGGAGGCAGCAGUAGGGAAUCUUCCGCAAUGGGCGAAAGCCUGACGGAGCAACGCCGCGUGAAUGAUGAAGGUCUUCGGAUCGUAAAACUCUGUUAUUAGGGAAGAACAAAUGUGUAAGUAACUAUGCACGUCUUGACGGUACCUAAUCAGAAAGCCACGACUAACUACGUG